CCUACGGGUGGCUGCAGUGGGGAAUAUUGGACAAUGGGCGAAAGCCUGAUCCAGCCAUGCCGCGUGUGUGAAGAAGGCCUUCGGGUUGUAAAGCACUUUCAGUGGGGAAGAAAGCCUUGGGGCUAAUACCCUCGAGGAAGGACAUCACCCACAGAAGAAGCACCGGCUAACUCCGUGCCAGCAGCCGCGGUAAUACGGAGGGUGCGAGCGUUAAUCGGAAUUACUGGGCGUAAAGCGCGCGUAGGCGGUCUGAUAAGCCGGUUGUGAAAGCCCCGGGCUCAACCUGGGAACGGCAUCCGGAACUGUCAGGCUAGAGUGCAGGAGAGGAAGGUAGAAUUCCCGGGGUAGCGGUGAAAUGCGUAGAGAUCGGGAGGAAUACCAGUGGCGAAGGCGGCCUUCUGGACUGACACUGACGCUGCGGUGCGAAAGCGUGGGUAGCAAACAGGAUUAGAUACCCUGGUAGUC
Molecule: ribosomal RNA, 465 nt
Filed under: Vreelandella stevensii
Lineage: Bacteria; Pseudomonadati; Pseudomonadota; Gammaproteobacteria; Oceanospirillales; Halomonadaceae
Description: partial 16S ribosomal RNA
Rfam family: Bacterial small subunit ribosomal RNA
Source: RNAcentral